RNAcentral lists this unclassified non-coding RNA (323 nucleotides) under plant metagenome. RNAcentral's name for it is "partial contains 5.8S ribosomal RNA, internal transcribed spacer 2, and large subunit ribosomal RNA". The stretch from base 1 to 105 matches the Rfam family "5.8S ribosomal RNA", at positions 50 to 154 of the family's 154-position model. The record is from RNAcentral.
GAAAUGCGAUAAGUAAUGCGAAUUGCAGAAUUCAGUGAAUCAUCGAAUCUUUGAACGCACAUUGCGCCCGCUAGUAUUCUGGCGGGCAUGCCUGUCUGAGCGUCAUUUCAACCCUCAUUCCCAGCUUCGUGUCGGGGAUGGUGUUGGGGAUCGGCCUCCCGGUUGCGGGCGGCCGGCCCCGAAAUAGAGUGGCGACCACGCCGUAGCCUCCUCUGCGUAGUAGUGAAAACCUCGCAGGCGGAGAGCGGUGCGGCCUGCCGUAAAACCCCCAACUCUUCUAAGGUUGACCUCAGAGCAGGUAGGAAUACCCGCUGAACUUAAGC